This 465-nucleotide ribosomal RNA is filed under the name uncultured bacterium. RNAcentral describes it as "partial 16S ribosomal RNA". It matches the Rfam family "Bacterial small subunit ribosomal RNA", at positions 28 to 507 of the family's 1533-position model. The record is from RNAcentral.
GACGAACGCUGGCGGCGUGCUUAACACAUGCAAGUCGUACGGUAAGGCCCUUUCGGGGGUACACGAGUGGCGAACGGGUGAGUAACACGUGAGUAACCUGCCCACAACUUUGGGAUAACGCUAGGAAACUGGUGCUAAUACUGGAUAUGUGCUCCUGCUGCAUGGUGGGGGUUGGAAAGCUCCGGCGGUUGUGGAUGGACUCGCGGCCUAUCAGCUUGUUGGUGGGGUAGUGGCCUACCAAGGCGGCGACGGGUAGCCGGCCUGAGAGGGUGACCGGCCACAUUGAGACUGAGAUACGGCCCAGACUCCUACGGGAGGCAGCAGUGGGGAAUAUUGCACAAUGGGCGCAAGCCUGAUGCAGCAACGCCGCGUGCGGGAUGACGGCCUUCGGGUUGUAAACCGCUUUCAGCAGGGACGAAGCUUUUUGUGACGGUACCUGCAGAAGAAGCACCGGCUAACUACGUG